AACAAGGCGAUGAUCAGUAGCCGGUCUGAGAGGAUGAACGGCCACAUUGGGACUGAGACACGGCCCAGACUCCUACGGGAGGCAGCAGUGGGGAAUCUUCCGCAAUGGACGAAAGUCUGACGGAGCAACGCCGCGUGAGUGAAGAAGGUCUUCGGAUUGUAAAGCUCUGUUAUACGGGACGAAAAAGACGGAUGCCAACAGUAUCCGUCCGUGACGGUACCGUAAGAGAAAGCCACGGGCUAACUACGUGCCCAGCAGCCGCGGUAAA
RNAcentral lists this ribosomal RNA (268 nucleotides) under uncultured Veillonellaceae bacterium. RNAcentral describes it as "partial 16S ribosomal RNA". It matches the Rfam family "Bacterial small subunit ribosomal RNA", at positions 267 to 524 of the family's 1533-position model. Lineage: Bacteria; Bacillati; Bacillota; Negativicutes; Veillonellales; Veillonellaceae. The record is from RNAcentral.